RNAcentral lists this ribosomal RNA (239 nucleotides) under Paramoeba aestuarina. Its description in RNAcentral is "partial Bacterial large subunit ribosomal RNA". It matches the Rfam family "Bacterial large subunit ribosomal RNA", at positions 1 to 212 of the family's 2925-position model. The record is from RNAcentral. Lineage: Eukaryota; Discosea; Flabellinia; Dactylopodida; Paramoebidae.
GUAAGAGCAUUUGGCGGAUGCCUUGGCAUGUACAGGCUAUGAAGGACGUGGCACGCUGCGAUAAGCGUCGGGGAGCUGUGAGCAAGCUUUGAUCCGGCGAUUUCCGAAUGGGGAAACCCACCCUCACCAUUUCCUCUGUGAUCCCUUUGGGGUUGUAGAAGAGGUGGAUAGGGUAUCACCUUGCUGAAUAUAUAGGCUUGGUGAAGCAAACCCGGGGAACUGAAACAUCUAAGUACCCG